This 78-nucleotide transfer RNA is filed under the name Mastigocoleus testarum BC008. Its description in RNAcentral is "tRNA-Leu". It matches the Rfam family "tRNA". Rfam says of the family: Transfer RNA (tRNA) molecules are approximately 80 nucleotides in length. Their secondary structure includes four short double-helical elements and three loops (D, anti-codon, and T loops). The record is from RNAcentral. Lineage: Bacteria; Bacillati; Cyanobacteriota; Cyanophyceae; Nostocales; Hapalosiphonaceae.
GCUCCCGUGGCGAAACUGGUAAACGCUUCCGUUUGAGGGACGGAAUUCUUGCAGGUUGAAAUCCUGUCGGGAGUACUA